CAAUAGCGUAUAUUAAAGUUGUUGCAGUUAAGAAGCUCGUAGUUGAAUUUUUGCUUGCCGCCGAUGUCGGAACUUCCGUACGUUCGGCGGCGUGCAUCCUUGGGUGGAACCUGUGUGGCAUUAGGUUGUCGUGCAGGGGAUGCUCAUCGUUUACUGUGAAAAAAUUAGAGUGUUCAAAGCAGGCUUACGCCGUUGAAUAUAUUAGCAUGGAAUAAUAAGAUAGGACCUUGGUACUAUUUUGUUGGUUUGCGCACCGAGGUAAUGAUUAACAGGGACAGUUGGGGGUAUUCGUAUUCCAUUGUCAGAGGUGAAAUUCUUGGAUUUCUGGAAGACGAACUACUGCGAAAGCAUUUACCAAGGAUGUUUUCAUUAA
RNAcentral lists this ribosomal RNA (373 nucleotides) under uncultured eukaryote. RNAcentral describes it as "partial 18S ribosomal RNA". It matches the Rfam family "Eukaryotic small subunit ribosomal RNA", at positions 592 to 976 of the family's 1831-position model. The record is from RNAcentral.